AGAGUUUGAUCAUGGCUCAGAUUGAACGCUGGCGGCAUGCUUAAUACAUGCAAGUCGAACGGUAACAGAUUCUUCGGAAUGCUGACGAGUGGCGGACGGGUGAGUAAUACAUAGGAAUCUGCCCAUGUAGUGGGGGACAACUUGGGGAAACUCAAGCUAAUACCGCAUAAUUCCUACGGGAUAAAGAGGGCCACUGCUUGCAAGCUCUUGCUACUGGAUGAGCCUAUGUCGGAUUAGUUAGUUGGUAAGGUAAUGGCUUACCAAGACAGCGAUCCGUAGCUGGUUUGAGAGGAUGAUCAGCCACACUGGGACUGAGACACGGCCCAGACUCCUACGGGAGGCAGCAGUAGGGAGUAUUGGACAAUGGGCGCAAGCCUGAUCCAGCAAUGCCGCGUGCGUGAAGAAGGCCUGCGGGUUGUAAAGCACUUUCAAUUGGGAAGAAAGAUUAUGAGUUAAUACCUUAUAAUAUCGACG
Molecule: ribosomal RNA, 474 nt
Filed under: uncultured bacterium
Lineage: Bacteria
Description: bacterial SSU rRNA
Rfam family: Bacterial small subunit ribosomal RNA
Source: RNAcentral